UGGGGAAUUUUGGACAAUGGGCGAAAGCCUGAUCCAGCAAUGCCGCGUGUGUGAAGAAGGCCUUCGGGUUGUAAAGCACUUUUGUCCGGAAAGAAAUCCUUGGCUCUAAUACAGUCGGGGGAUGACGGUACCGGAAGAAUAAGCACCGGCUAACUACGUGCCAGCAGCCGCGGUAAUACGUAGGGUGCAAGCGUUAAUCGGAAUUACUGGGCGUAAAGCGUGCGCAGGCGGUUUGCUAAGACCGAUGUGAAAUCCCCGGGCUCAACCUGGGAACUGCAUUGGUGACUGGCAGGCUAGAGUAUGGCAGAGGGGGGUAGAAUUCCACGUGUAGCAGUGAAAUGCGUAGAGAUGUGGAGGAAUACCGAUGGCGAAGGCAGCCCCCUGGGCCAAUACUGGCAGCUCAUGCACGAAAAGCGUGGGGGAGCAAAACAGGAUUAGAUACCCUGGUAGUCCACGCCCUAAACGAUGUCAACUAGUUGUUGGGGAUUCAUUUCCUUAGUAACGUAGCUAACGCGUGAAGUUGACCGCCUGGGGAGUACGGUCGCAAGAUUAAAACUCAAAUGAAUUGACGGGGUCAUAGC
RNAcentral lists this ribosomal RNA (581 nucleotides) under uncultured bacterium. RNAcentral describes it as "partial 16S ribosomal RNA". It matches the Rfam family "Bacterial small subunit ribosomal RNA", at positions 355 to 925 of the family's 1533-position model. The record is from RNAcentral.